UACGUAGGGUGCAAGCGUUGUCCGGAAUUAUUGGGCGUAAGGAGCUCGUAGGCGGUCUGUCGCGUCGGCUGUGAAAACUUGGGGCUCAACCCCAAGCCUGCAGUCGAUACGGGCAGACUAGAGUGUGGUAGGGGAGACUGGAAUUCCUGGUGUAGCGGUGAAAUGCGCAGAUAUCAGGAGGAACACCGGUGGCGAAGGCGGGUCUCUGGGCCAUAACUGACGCUGAGGAGCGAAAGCGUGGGGAGCGAACAGG
RNAcentral lists this ribosomal RNA (253 nucleotides) under uncultured bacterium. Its description in RNAcentral is "partial 16S ribosomal RNA". It matches the Rfam family "Bacterial small subunit ribosomal RNA", at positions 524 to 776 of the family's 1533-position model. The record is from RNAcentral.